RNAcentral lists this ribosomal RNA (443 nucleotides) under uncultured bacterium. Its description in RNAcentral is "partial 16S ribosomal RNA". It matches the Rfam family "Bacterial small subunit ribosomal RNA", at positions 338 to 795 of the family's 1533-position model. The record is from RNAcentral.
CCUACGGGAGGCAGCAGUGGGGAAUAUUGGACAAUGGGCGAAACCCUGACGCAGCGACGCCGCGUGAAGGAAGAAGGCUUUCGGGUUGUAAACCUCUAUUCUCAGGGACGAAGCAAGUGACGGUACCGGAGGAAUAAGCCACGGCUAACGACGUGCCAGCAGCCGCGGUAAUACGUAGGUGGCAAGCGUUAUCCGGAUUUACUGGGUGUAAAGGGCGUGUAGGCGGGACUGCAAGUCAGAUGUGAAAACCACGGGCUCAACCUGUGGCCUGCAUUUGAAACUGUAGUUCUAGAGUACUGGAGAGGCAGGCGGAAUUCCUAGUGUAGCGGUGAAAUGCGUAGAUAUUAGGAGGAACACCAGUGGCGAAGGCGGUCUGCUGGACAGCAACUGACGCUGAGGCGCGAAAGCGUGGGGAGCAAACAGGAUUAGAUACCCCUGUAGUC